UAGAAUGAACACCAGACCGGCACUUCACACGGUGAAAGACAACCUUGGCAUUCAUCAGCAGAUAACAUGCAUCAGCAGAUAACCCUUACUCUUCAGAUUAUUUGAUAAUCAUGAGAAUGAAUACCGACAGGUUUUGCCUUGGAACACUCCUUCAUGUGACUUACCUGUUGUUGUAGGUUUAUACAACCCCCGGAAGUACAGACAACAAAGCAGACAUAAUCUGGAAUAUCGAUAACCUCUAAAGCUCUAAGAGGACCCAAAAUGAAAGCAACUCCUGGAGGCUGGGAUUAUGAAAGAUUUUCACGAAACUCACGCCAGCUGCUUCACACAUUGAAAAUUAUGAGAGGCUGGUGGAUUGAAGUGUAGUCAAACAGUCUUUUUCAACAAUGUGGACAGUCAUGCCCACUGGACAACUAAAAAGUGCUCCUUCGUUACCCUCCUUCUCCAAACACUACAUGUCAAUAGUCCCAACAAAAAGUUAUAAAACAAGCAGUCUUGACCUUCCUUUUCCACCAUGACAGGCAGAAUUAAUAUAGCUAUCAAGUAUUAGUAACUGCUAAAGAGGGAUUGUCGUUGAGAGAGGCACUUAAAGGCACACCAAGUUUUACAACAGAUAGAAACAUAAUCCUUGGCAAACUGGGCCCAGCCCAAAACGGACCAAAUCAGACUGAUAAAAACUGCUCAUAUCUGCAGCUAUAGCAGCAAUUUAAAAUCUAUGCUAUAGCUGAUAGCGACGACUCCGAACUGAAUACUAAUCGAUGCAUAUGCAAUACUGCUCACGUCUGUUACUUGUAUUUAAAAAUAAUCA
This is a long non-coding RNA of Bolinopsis microptera, 808 nucleotides long. RefSeq lists it as uncharacterized. Lineage: Eukaryota; Metazoa; Ctenophora; Tentaculata; Lobata; Bolinopsidae. The record is from RefSeq and is a predicted model, not a curated record. The transcript is spliced from 4 exons.